RNAcentral lists this ribosomal RNA (480 nucleotides) under uncultured bacterium. Its description in RNAcentral is "partial 16S ribosomal RNA". It matches the Rfam family "Bacterial small subunit ribosomal RNA", at positions 28 to 523 of the family's 1533-position model. The record is from RNAcentral.
GACGAACGCUGGCGGCGUGCUUAACACAUGCAAGUCGAGCGGAAAGGCCCUUCGGGGUACUCGAGCGGCGAACGGGUGGGUAACACGUGAGUAACCUGCCUCGGACUCUGGGAUAAGCCUGGGAAACUGGGUCUAAUACCGGAUGUUCAUCUCCUGCUGCAUGGUGGGAGGUGGAAAGUGUUUAGCGGUUCGGGAUGGGCUCGCGGCCUAUCAGCUUGUUGGUGAGGUAAUGGCUUACCAAGGCUUUUACGGGUAGCCGGCCUGAGAGGGCGACCGGCCACACUGGGACUGAGAUACGGCCCAGACUCCUACGGGAGGCAGCAGUGGGGAAUAUUGCGCAAUGGGCGGAAGCCUGACGCAGCGACGCCGUGUGAGGGAUGACGGCCUUCGGGUUGUAAACCUCUUUCACCAGGGACGAAGCUUUUGUGACGGUACCUGGGGAAGAAGCGCCGGCCAACUACGUGCCAGCCGCCGCGGUAA